This 1378-nucleotide long non-coding RNA is filed under the name Hordeum vulgare. RNAcentral's name for it is "long non-coding RNA (HVUL_LNC011176)". The record is from RNAcentral. Lineage: Eukaryota; Viridiplantae; Streptophyta; Magnoliopsida; Poales; Poaceae.
CGGUGUUCCCGCGGCUGGCGCAGGGCAAGACCCACGACGAGAUGACGGUGACCUGGACCAGCGGCUACGACGUUAACGAGGCCUACCCGUUCGUGGAGUGGGGCAUGGUCGGCGCCGCCGGAACGCGCACCCCCGCCGGGACACUGACCUUCAACCGCGGCAGCAUGUGCGGUACGUACCUACGGUGCUGCAUGAGGAGCAUCAACUCGAUCAUGCAUGGGCAAGGAGGUUGAAUAUUUACUCUCUUUUUUUUCUGGCUUUGGCUCUUUGUGCAGGCGAGCCGGCACGAACUGUUGGAUGGAGAGAUCCCGGGUUCAUCCACACGGCGUUCAUGAGGAACCUGUGGCCCAACAAAGAGUGCGUACCCUCCGAUUCAUAUCAAUUAUCGCUGAUUUAGUAGUAUCAAAAGGAGUAUCAAAAUCUCUUUAUGUUAAUUCGGUGCUAAUAAGAACUAGAUCGUUCUAAUUCGUCCUUGACAAAGAGCAUGCUCAUAUAUAUAUAUAUAUAUGGCCGGCUUUACUCAAAGAUCAUCUGGUUUGUGAAUUCAGGUACUUUUACAAGAUCGGGCACGAGCUCUCCGACGGAAGCGUGGUGUGGGCCAAGCCCUACACUUUCCGGGCACCGCCAACCCCCGGGCAGAACUCGCUGCAGCGUAUCAUCGUCUUCGGUGACAUGGGAAAGGUAGAAUUUAAAUGUGUCACUCUUGGGGUUUUAUUUUCUUUGAACCAUGCGCAAGAGUUACACGUACGCAUUAGAUAGAAAUAGGAGCGCAAGUUCACUUCACCGGAAAUACAGAUGAUCGAGGGGAAAUAUCCUACAUUCACCACAUAUGGGUGGGUGUUGUUGCACAUGCAUGCUCAAAUCUGAUGGUCCUUCUUCCCUACCCGUCUGUUGUCCGUUUGUAAAUGGAACCGGAACACAUGGUCGUCAGGAAAAGUAAGGAAGAGGAUAGCACUUUUAGGCUAUGUUUGAUUGAGCUGUAGAUUCUAAAAAAGUCACUGUAAAAAUCCUGUUGUAAAAAAACUGUUGUGGAUAAGCUAGAAGCUGAAAAGUUGGGAUACCUUCAGUUUUAAAAUUUAUACUAGGAAAAAGCUACAGAUUAUCAAAAACUGCUUUGAACAUUUACCCGUUUGAUUAGGUUUUAGCUUUUUAAAAUAGAAAUUGAUAAAAAAAAAAAAGAUGAACCAAACACAGCCUUACAGAUGGUACACGUGGUUUGGUCUUAAUUUUCAGGCGGAGAGGGACGGAUCAAACGAGUUCGCCAACUACCAGCCGGGGUCGCUCAACACGACGGACAGGCUGAUUGAAGACCUGGACAACUACGACAUCGUCUUCCACAUCGGCGACAUGCCCUACGCCAACGGGUACCUCUCCCAGU